GGGAAGGUGGCUGAGUGGUAAAGUGCUUGCCUUGCAUGCAUGAGGCCCUGGGUUCGAUUCCUUAGCAUCACA
Molecule: transfer RNA, 72 nt
Filed under: Dipodomys ordii (Ord's kangaroo rat)
Lineage: Eukaryota; Metazoa; Chordata; Mammalia; Rodentia; Heteromyidae
Rfam family: tRNA
About the family: Transfer RNA (tRNA) molecules are approximately 80 nucleotides in length.
Source: Rfam by way of RNAcentral